Molecule: transfer RNA, 74 nt
Filed under: Halioglobus sp. HI00S01
Lineage: Bacteria; Pseudomonadati; Pseudomonadota; Gammaproteobacteria; Cellvibrionales; Halieaceae
Rfam family: tRNA
About the family: Transfer RNA (tRNA) molecules are approximately 80 nucleotides in length. Their secondary structure includes four short double-helical elements and three loops (D, anti-codon, and T loops). Further hydrogen bonds mediate the characteristic L-shaped molecular structure. tRNAs have two regions of fundamental functional importance: the anti-codon, which is responsible for specific mRNA codon recognition, and the 3' end, to which the tRNAs corresponding amino acid is attached (by aminoacyl-tRNA synthetases). tRNAs cope with the degeneracy of the genetic code in two manners: having more than one tRNA (with a specific anti-codon) for a particular amino acid; and 'wobble' base-pairing, i.e. permitting non-standard base-pairing at the 3rd anti-codon position.
Source: Rfam by way of RNAcentral
UCCUCUCGGGCCCUCUAGGUGAGGGCACCUGGCUGUUAACCAGGACGUGGCAGGUUCGAAUCCUGCGGGGGGAG